CUCUUAGAAGGAAAAAAAAAAUAAAAUCUUGGGUGAAGCAAGUUUAUAAUAGAGGAUAAAUAAUGUGACGGGAACUGCCCUUUAUUUAUAAUGCCUGCACCCAUCUUUUCAUCAAUUAUUUUUCCACAUACAGGUUAUUGUAGGAUUAGAUGCAGCCUCAUACUGGGUUAUUUAGGUGCUUGUUUCAAAAGAGUAUAAAGCAAGAUAAUGCUUAUUAUUUUCAUUUGUAAUUGUUAAUAAGUCAGCAUGCUUCCCAUUUUACUAGGUAGGGAAGUGGAAGUGAAAUGCACAGUCAAGGCUUUUGCAAGAAAAGAGCAGCAGAAACAGAGCUGGAAUCCAGGCCUGGUCCCUCCUGCUCCAGCACUCCUGCUCCCGGAGCGUGUUCAGCCUAUGGUCAGGAAAGUUCCACCACGCUCAGCUUUGCAUAGUCAUUUGCCACUCUAAAUUGAAGAAGAUUCACCAUUUCUCUUAACAACUUUACAUAAGACUGAACACAAGUUUUCUUGUUAUAAAGUACCUUCUUCCACCCUUUGUACAAGAGAAUUUUAGCUAUGAAUAACUAAGGGUUAAUAGCACAACUCCAAACCAGUUGUUCCUCUGAUUAAUGACUUCUCCUAAAGCACUAAAAGCCCCCGGCUUCACCUCAGGCCAUUUAAACCCCUAUGGUUAACUACCAAGGGCUGGAUCCUUCUGAAGCUGAUGCUUUAAUCCACACACUGGUGCCUCUCCAUUUGCUGUGUCAUCGGGAGAGUUUCAGAACAGGUCUAGCUCAAGAUGCAUUUUAUUACCUAGAAGCUAGGUAGUGUUAUUUCCAGAAACCUCUUCAGUAACUUUUUUCCUUGUCCUGGUUGGUCAGAAUUUUACCGAGGUGACAGCAAACUUUGCUGUCUGCAGAGGCAGUAUCCAGUAGUCUGAGCAAACACUAGCAGAUCUGUUUUCUCCUUUAUGUUUUAAGCAUGCGAUAAGCUGAAUAAAAGCAAAAAUACUUGAUGAAAGAAAACUUAGUCGCUUGUUGUGCAGCAGGCUGGCAUUUUAAUUCUGCUUUGCCAGCUCAGAGCGAGCUUCUACACAGUCAAAUAGCAGAUGUGGGUCUAGAUCUAUUAGGAAAGUACCAAACUUUUGUACCUUUUGCUAAUAUAUUUUAGAUGUGUUUCACGUGGAGUUUUGCCACUAGGUAUGUGCUCUGCGAGGACCUGCUUCAGAGGAGAUUCCAGAGUGGGCCCCGACAGCAGGUGAACACGGCAGAACGGAGCGAAGGUGACAGCAGCUCAGGUUAUGCCAGAUGCAGGGUUUUUUCUGAGGAUGGAACUGCACAUAACCAGGGGAGGGAGACUGGAGUGUCAGCAUAGCUGAGGCUUAUUUUUGACAGAAACGACAGCUGCUGUUUGGGUUAAAAUUUUCAUAUAGCGAGGAACUUGUUGGAACAGCACCUACUCGGCUUCUAUGAUGAAAUUCAAGGGACCAGCUUAGCAGCUCAGGUGACAUUUUGGAAAGGGACUGUCUGCAGUGAAGUCUUAAAAUUUUUCAUUUCUUUGAAAUUUCAGACAAAUUCAUCAGUUUUCUUCUUCCUUUUAAAUUUAAGCUAUAAAUGGAAAAACACCUGCCAAAAAAUUUUGGGAGAAAAGACACAAAAAGCAAUCUUCCAUUAAACCAGAGCCCAUUUGUGAAGGUCAGAUACACUCAACAUCCUUCUUGACUGCACAACCGCAGUGAGAAAUACUUCUGUCCUAGACCAAGUAAGAAAAAGUCCAGGUGUUUGACGGAUCCCCAAAAGCUGCGUUGCACCCCAGACACCUGCCAGGGUUCGGGCUGUCACCGGAGCAGGUUCCCAGCCCCCCUGGGCCAUCCCCAGCGUGCAAAGGCGAGCAGGCACGCGGACGGCUUCAAGCAGGAAAUUCUGGUUCUCGUUGCAGGCGGGAGCCCUCGGCCGGGCUGCGGGCAGAGCAGCGCUCUCUCCCUGCUCGCCGCCUGCCCCCAGGACCCCCAGCGCUUUUCAUACACCAGCUAGCACACACCGCCCGCCCCGCAGCCAGGACGGGGCAUUAAACAGCUUCUAACGCCCAGCCGGGCCCUGGGGAGACUGGCCAGGCUGGUGGUGGGUCCGUUCUGUGCCUGGAACUGUACAGGAGGUGGUCCAUCUGUCCACUGAAAGAUAACAAACAGCAUGAAAAUCCUCCAGCCGCUGCCUGGGGAGGGGAGGGAUGGCAGCGAGGCCAGAGGAAGGAGCUCGCCGUUUGCUACCUUGAGAUAAUUAAAGAUUUCAUCACCAGAAGUUGCGCAUCAGGUAAACGUCUGACUGUCCCAACACGGGAAGCCACGACUUGCACGGAUGAGGGACCUGACUUCGACGUGUUUGAGCCACGACACGCUGCACUACAGCGUUUUCAGAGCAAGUGAAGCCUCUGGUCCACACUCAUUUCACUACUAAGAUAUUUUUCUCUCACAUUAGUCAAAAAUCUUCUAAAACGGGCAAACUUGUUUCUUCAUCUUCCUCCCCCCUCCAGAUUUUGAAUCCAGCAUUGAUUAUGCAAACGCCAGCAAUGGCGGGAGCACUGGCCCACGGCCCACGCUCGGGUGGAGGCAGGCGUGCGUCUCCACACUUUCAUCCUCACAGGUCUCAGGGUCCCUUUGCGAGCAAAGCCAGCACAUGGCAUCUUCCUAUUGGCCUUUUUCCGCCCCCCCUUUCUUCUCCCCAGAAGGGAACUUUGGGAAAAAGAUGUCACAUUCCUCACAUCUCACGUUCCCAUUUGGACGUUAUUUCAGUCCAGAACAUUAAAUAGUCUUAGGCUGUUGCUGAGAUGCAGCUUAGUAAGCCAUUCUCUAUCUUUAAAACAGCCUUAAAAAUGUUUGACAGGAAGGAUGUCAAUAUCUGAAGCCCCCAGAAAGUGGAACCUUAAGGCAAUGGCUAUGCAGACAUCAAAUAGUGCAUUAACUGGAAAUUCAGAUUUAUACAUAAGUAUAAAGAAAACCAACUUAGGAAUGUUAAAGUAUCAGUAGAAAUUGUAGUUUUAGCAGUAUAUGAGAAAGCAUUCCCCAGAACAAGGCAGGCUGGAUGACCUAAACAUUAAAAUUAACCCUGAGAACAUAGCAAGUUUCUUUUAAAGGCCAAUAGUUGUCACCAAAAUGAAGUGGCUACCUGCUACACAAGCCAUUUAAAAAAAAAAAAAAAUUCUGGUUUACCAAGAAAACACUUCUAAGAAACAAAGACCAUACCCACCAAAUAACCUUUAUAAAAACUAAUUGAGUCACAUUUCCUUUUCCUGUUAUCAGUCCAAUUUAAAUACUGGGAAGUAGACUGAAUUUUGGCACAUUACUGAGAAGUGUGCUCAGCAGAAGAAAGGAAUAGUAAAAGAAAGCAAAGUUUUGCCUCAAAGCUACUCAUCACCGCAAGACGAAGCU
This is a long non-coding RNA of Tyto alba (common barn owl), 3399 nucleotides long. RefSeq lists it as uncharacterized. The transcript is spliced from 3 exons. The record is from RefSeq and is a predicted model, not a curated record. Lineage: Eukaryota; Metazoa; Chordata; Aves; Strigiformes; Tytonidae.